AGCAGCCUGAGAACCAGAAAAGACCUGGAUUCAAACCUGGCCUCUGCCGCAUGCUGAUUGUGUGACCCUGGACAAGUCACUUCAUUUCCCAAUGCGCUGGAUAACUCUAUUCCAUGGAGGGGCCUUUGGAUGCCAUCUUACAAUAAUUGGAACGACAAUGAUCGGGUGAACAUCUUUGUGUCAAAUAUCUCAGAUAAGGCUCUGAUAUUCAAGAUAUGUAUAGACAACGCAUAGAAACAUAAGAUGAAACACCAUUCCGUAAUAAGGUCAUCUUUUAAAUACCAGUGCUCUGUUGGUGCUGACUGUGAGUCACUGAAUGCCCCAGUCUUCAGACAAUUAAGCUAGCGG
This is a non-coding RNA of Phascolarctos cinereus (koala), 348 nucleotides long. The record is from RefSeq and is a predicted model, not a curated record. NCBI's taxonomy places the organism in Eukaryota, Metazoa, Chordata, Mammalia, Diprotodontia, Phascolarctidae.